CCGAGAGCCAGCGUGCAGCGCAGCUGGGGGCGUGACCGACAUGAGAUGAAAACUGCGCAGACUCAGCAACUCAUCCCCAAUAGGAGGGCGAGAGCCCCAGCGUCCUCGGUUUCCAUAGUGACAGAGCCUACUUCUGGUCUCUAACCGCCACGGUUUCCCUUCUUAGCUCCGGGCGCACCCAGGAAAGACAAAAAUACGCAUAAGGCCAGCCGUUUGACCCCUUGCAGCAGAAGAUAAAGGGCUCCACUCUAAACGUGGUGAUCCUGUUCACCCCUGGGAGCUGCUUGGCAGAACUGGCCCUACACACCGGGAAACUGGAGGAAGGAUGAAAGACUGGAAGGACUGUGGUUGUGGAGGAGACCAAAGGAAUGCCGCCCGCGGUAGAAUGUUGGCAGGUCUUGCAUAGCGCUACAGACACAACAUGUGGUGGCCUAAGCACCCUAAUUUCUUUGUUUCUGCCUAGCCAGUAUAACAGUCCAGAAAACCUCCUUUCCUUUAGGAAAUAAAUACUCAGGGAUAUUAAAAUCGAA
This is a long non-coding RNA of Gorilla gorilla gorilla (western lowland gorilla), 530 nucleotides long. RefSeq lists it as uncharacterized. The record is from RefSeq and is a predicted model, not a curated record. The transcript is spliced from 2 exons. Lineage: Eukaryota; Metazoa; Chordata; Mammalia; Primates; Hominidae.